This is a non-coding RNA of Amborella trichopoda, 79 nucleotides long. Lineage: Eukaryota; Viridiplantae; Streptophyta; Magnoliopsida; Amborellales; Amborellaceae. The record is from Rfam.
CGGCAAUGAUGAGGAAUUUAGUCAUGCACCACUCUGAUUUUUUAGUGCUGAUAAAGUCAACACCUAUUUCUCUGAGCUG